Molecule: ribosomal RNA, 467 nt
Filed under: uncultured bacterium
Lineage: Bacteria
Description: partial 16S ribosomal RNA
Rfam family: Bacterial small subunit ribosomal RNA
Source: RNAcentral
GAUGAACGCUGGCGGCGUGCUUAACACAUGCAAGUCGAACGGAAAGGCCCAAGCUUGCUUGGGUACUCGAGUGGCGAACGGGUGAGUAACACGUGGGUGAUCUGCCCUGCACUUCGGGAUAAGCCUGGGAAACUGGGUCUAAUACCGGAUAGGACCACUUCUUGGAUGUUGUGGUGGAAAGUUUUUUCGGUGUGGGAUGAGCUCGCGGCCUAUCAGCUUGUUGGUGGGGUAAUGGCCUACCAAGGCGUCGACGGGUAGCCGGCCUGAGAGGGUGUACGGCCACAUUGGGACUGAGAGACGGCCCAGACGCCUACGGGAGGCAGCAGUGGGGAAUAUUGCACAAUGGGCGCAAGCCGGAUGCAGCGACGCCGCGUGGGGGAUGACGGCCUUCGGGUUGUAAACGCCUUUCGCUAGGGACGAAGCGUUUUGUGACGGUACCUGGAGAAGAAGCACCGGCUAACUACGUG